RNAcentral lists this ribosomal RNA (1751 nucleotides) under Saccharopolyspora antimicrobica. Its description in RNAcentral is "bacterial LSU rRNA". It matches the Rfam family "Bacterial large subunit ribosomal RNA", at positions 1280 to 2925 of the family's 2925-position model. Lineage: Bacteria; Bacillati; Actinomycetota; Actinomycetes; Pseudonocardiales; Pseudonocardiaceae. The record is from RNAcentral.
GUGUGGGAGUGAGAAUGCAGGCAUGAGUAGCGAGUGAAGAGUGAGAAUCUCUUCCGCCGGAUGACCAAGGGUUCCUGGGGAAGGUUCGUCCGCCCAGGGUGAGUCGGGGCCUAAGGCGAGGCCGACAGGCGUAGUCGAUGGAUAACGGGUUGAUAUUCCCGUACCCGUGCAUACGCGUCCAUAGCGAAACCUUUGAUACUAACCAUCCGCUUGUCACAUGAGUCUUCGGACGAGUGUGAUGGGUGCAUGGGACCUGAUUGGGCGGUAGUUAAGUGAUGGGGUGACGCAGGAGGGUAGCUCUGCCAGUGAGUGGUUGUACUGGUGUAAGCCUGUAGCCCGGUGUGUAGGCAAAUCCGCACACCAUGUGGGUGAGGGGUGAUGCGUAGCCGUUGUGGUGAUGUGAGUGAUCCCAUGCUGUCGAGAAAAGCCUCUAGCGAGUGUGUGCAUGGCCCGUACCCGAAACCGACACAGGUGGUCAGGUAGAGUAUACCGAGGCGGUCGGGUGAACUGUGGUUAAGGAAUUCGGCAAAUUGCCCCCGUAACUUUGGGAGAAGGGGGGCCAUUGCUGGUGAACACCCUUGCGGUGGGAGCUGGUGGUGGUCGCAGAGGCCAGGGAGAAGCGACUGUUUACUAAAAACACAGGUCCAUGCGAAGCUGUAAGGCGAUGUAUAUGGACUGACGCCUGCCCGGUGCUGGAACGUUAAGAGGACCCGUGAACCCGUAAGGGUGUAGCGGAGAAUUUAAGCGCCAGUAAACGGCGGUGGUAACUAUAACCAUCCUAAGGUAGCGAAAUUCCUUGUCGGGUAAGUUCCGACCUGCACGAAUGGCGUAACGACUUCUCCGCUGUCUCGACCACAGGCCCGGUGAAAUUGCAGUACGAGUAAAGAUGCUCGUUUCGCGCGGCAGGACGGAAAGACCCCGGGACCUUUACUAUAGCUUGGUAUUGGUGUUUGGUUCGGCUUGUGUAGGAUAGGUGGGAGACUGUGAAGCAUUCACGCUAGUGGGUGUGGAGUCGUUGGUGAAAUACCACUCUGGUCGUUCUGGGCAUCUAACUCGGGUCCGUGAUCCGGAUCGGGGACAGUGCCUGGUGGGUAGUUUAACUGGGGCGGUUGCCUCCUAAAGGGUAACGGAGGCGCCCAAAGGUUCCCUCAGCCUGGUUGGCAAUCAGGUGUUGAGUGUAAGUGUAUAAGGGAGCUUGACUGUGAGACUGACGGGUCGAGCAGGUGCGAAAGCAGGGACUAGUGAUCCGGCACUGGCUGGUGGAAGCGGUGUCGCUCAACGGAUAAAAGGUACCCCGGGGAUAACAGGCUGAUCUUGCCCAAGAGUCCAUAUCGACGGCAUGGUUUGGCACCUCGAUGUCGGCUCGUCGCAUCCUGGGGCUGGAGUUGGUCCCAAGGGUUGGGCUGUUCGCCCAUUAAAGCGGCACGCGAGCUGGGUUUAGAACGUCGUGAGACAGUUCGGUCCCUAUCCGCCGCGCGCGUAGGAGACUUGCGGAAGGCUGUCCCUAGUACGAGAGGACCGGGAUGGACGAACCUCUGGUGUGCCAGUCGUUCUGCCAAGGGCGUGGCUGGUUGGCUAUGUUCGGGAGGGAUAACCGCUGAAAGCAUCUAAGCGGGAAGCCUGUUCCUAGAUGAGGUCUCCCACCCUUUGUGGGGUAAGGCCCCCAGUAGAUGACUGGGUUGACAGGCCAGAUAUGGAAGCACAGUAAUGUGUGGAGUUGACUGGUGCUGAUAGGCCGAGGACUUGUUCAC